RNAcentral lists this ribosomal RNA (227 nucleotides) under Phocaeicola vulgatus. RNAcentral describes it as "partial 16S ribosomal RNA". It matches the Rfam family "Bacterial small subunit ribosomal RNA", at positions 1299 to 1533 of the family's 1533-position model. Lineage: Bacteria; Pseudomonadati; Bacteroidota; Bacteroidia; Bacteroidales; Bacteroidaceae. The record is from RNAcentral.
UGGAGUCUGCAACCCGACUCCACGAAGCUGGAUUCGCUAGUAAUCGCGCAUCAGCCACGGCGCGGUGAAUACGUUCCCGGGCCUUGUACACACCGCCCGUCAAGCCAUGGGAGCCGGGGGUACCUGAAGUGCGUAACCGCGAGGAGCGCCCUAGGGUAAAACUGGUGACUGGGGCUAAGUCGUAACAAGGUAGCCGUACCGGAAGGUGCGGCUGGAACACCUCCUUU